RNAcentral lists this ribosomal RNA (1692 nucleotides) under Algidia chiltoni oconnori. RNAcentral describes it as "SSU rRNA". It matches the Rfam family "Eukaryotic small subunit ribosomal RNA". Lineage: Eukaryota; Metazoa; Arthropoda; Arachnida; Opiliones; Triaenonychidae. The record is from RNAcentral.
UUGAUCCUGCCAGUAGUCAUAUGCUUUCUCAAAGACUAAGACAUGCAAGUUUAAGUACAGGCUUUAAACAAAGUGAAACGCGAAUGGCUCAUUAAAUCAGUUAUGGUUCCUUAGAUCGUACUAUCCUACUUGGAUAACUGUGGUAAUUCUAGAGCUAAUACAUGCAGCAGAACUCAGACCUUCGGGAACGAGUGCUUUUAUUAGACCAAGACCAUCGGGCUUCGGCUCGACACCCAUGGCGACUCUGGAUAACUUUGAGCUGAUCGCACGAUCUGUAUCGGCGACGUUUCUUUUUAAGUGUCUGCCUUAUCAACUGUCGAUGGUAGGUUAUGCGCCUACCAUGGUCGUAACGGGUGACGGGGAAUCAGGGUUCGAUUCCGGAGAGGGAGCCUGAGAAACGGCUACCACAUCCAAGGAAGGCAGCAGGCGCGCAAAUUACCCACUCCCGGCAAGGGGAGGUAGUGACGAAAAAUAACGAUGCGGGACUCUUUUGAGGCCCCGCAAUCGGAAUGAGUACACGCUCGUAGUUGGAUCUCAGUUCGAGACUGGCGGUCCGCCGUUCGGUGGUUACUGCCAGGACUCAACAUCCUGCCGGUUUUCCCCUGGUGCUCUUCACUGAGUGUCUCGGGUGCCCGGCACGUUUACUUUGAAAAAAUUAGAGUGCUCAAAGCAGGCGUUUAGCCUGAAUAAUGGUGCAUGGAAUAAUGGAAUAGGAUCUCGGUUCUAUUGUGUUGGUUUUCGGAACACGAGGUAAUGAUUAAAAGGGACAGACGGGGGCAUUCGUAUUGCGACGCUAGAGGUGAAAUUCUUGGACCGUCGCAAGACGAACUACUGCGAAAGCAUUUGCCAAGCAUGUUUUCGUUGAUCAAGAACGAAAGUUAGAGGUUCGAAGGCGAUCAGAUACCGCCCUAGUUCUAACCAUAAACGAUGCCAACCAGCAAUCCGCCUGAGUUCCUCAAAUGACUCGGCGGGCAGCUUCCGGGAAACCAAAGUGUUUGGGUUCCGGGGGAAGUAUGGUUGCAAAGCUGAAACUUAAAGGAAUUGACGGAAGGGCACCACCAGGAGUGGAGCCUGCGGCUUAAUUUGACUCAACACGGGAAAACUUACCCGGCCCGGACACCGGAAGGAUUGACAGAUUAAGAGCUCUUUCUUGAUUCGGUGGGUGGUGGUGCAUGGCCGUUCUUAGUUGGUGGAGCGAUUUGUCUGGUUAAUUCCGAUAACGAACGAGACUCUAGCCUACUUAAUAGAGAACCGAUUUCCUUUCGUCGGUUACUCUUCUUAGAGGGACAAGCGGCGUUUAGCCGCACGAGACAGAGCAAUAACAGGUCUGUGAUGCCCUUAGAUGUCCGGGGCCGCACGCGCGCUACACUGAAGGAAUCAGCGUGUGUUCACCCUGGCCGAAAGGUCUGGGUAACCCGUUGAACCUCCUUCGUGAUAGGGAUAGGGGCUUGUAACUAUUCCCCUUGAACGAGGAAUUCCCAGUAAGCGCGAGUCAUAAGCUCGCGUUGAUUACGUCCCUGCCCUUUGUACACACCGCCCGUCGCUACUACCGAUUGAAUGAUUUAGUGAGGUCUUCGGACUGGUGCUCGGAGCGGCCCUCGGGUCGCGCCGGCGUACCGGAAAGAUGACCAAACUUGAUCAUUUAGAGGAAGUAAAAGUCGUAACAAGGUUUCCGUAGGUGAACCUGCGGAA